CCUGAAAAUGGAUGGCGCUGAAGCGGGUGGCCGACACCACGCCGUCUGGUAAAGAAUUAUGAUCAGAUGAGUAGGAGGGCGUGGCGGUUGUAUCGAAGGGUAUGUGCAGACAUGUCUGGAACGGCCGCUAGUGCAGAUCUUGGUGGUAGUAGCAAGUAUUCAAGCGAGAUCCUUGAAGGGCGAAGCGGGGAAGGGUUCCACGCGAACAUUGAUUGGGCGUGGGUGAGUCGUUCCUAAGCCGAGUGGCGAUUGCUAAGUAGCGGCGAAAGGGAAGCUGGUUGACAUUCCAGCACACGGAUGUGGAGGCGGUGACGCGUAUUGGGACGAACACGCUGGCGGUGGCGCUGGGCAGAGUUGUCUUUUCUGUUUGACUUUGCGCACGCGGUGUGGAAUCCGCUUGUCGGGAGAAACACGCGUGUCGAGGCAGAGCGCCGGGGCUUUUCCGGCGUCCAGCUCGCCACCGACGGCCCUUGAAACUUUGUCUGCUUAAAUCCACGCCGUGGCGUACCGAUCACCGCAUCAGGUCCCCAAGGUGAACAGCCUCUGCUCUAUAUGAACAAUGCAGGUAAGGGAAGUCGGCAAAUUAGACCCGUAACUUUGGGAUAAGGGUUGGCUCUAGUGCUGCGUGGGAGUGGUUGCCCAUGGUCGGGGGAAUUGGUGAGGCUGGCUUGGCGCGGUGCCGGCUGCCGAGCUGGCUCUUCUGCUUUGGGCGACGCCC
This 718-nucleotide ribosomal RNA is filed under the name Stauromenia australis. RNAcentral describes it as "eukaryotic LSU rRNA". It matches the Rfam family "Eukaryotic large subunit ribosomal RNA", at positions 1311 to 2071 of the family's 3401-position model. The record is from RNAcentral. Lineage: Eukaryota; Rhodophyta; Florideophyceae; Gigartinales; Kallymeniaceae.